RNAcentral lists this ribosomal RNA (239 nucleotides) under uncultured bacterium. RNAcentral's name for it is "partial 16S ribosomal RNA". It matches the Rfam family "Bacterial small subunit ribosomal RNA", at positions 15 to 244 of the family's 1533-position model. The record is from RNAcentral.
GAUCCUGGCUCAGGAUGAACGCUGGCGGCGUGCUUAACACAUGCAAGUCGAACGAAGCAACCAUGAAGCCUAGCGAUUGGUUGACUGAGUGGCGGACGGGUGAGUAACGCGUGGGUAACCUGCCUCAUACAGGGGGACAACAGUUAGAAAUGACUGCUAAUACCGCAUAACCCGCUAGGGCCGCAUGGCCCGGACGGAAAAGGAGCAAUCCGGUAUGAGAUGGACCCGCGUCUGAUUAG